This 253-nucleotide ribosomal RNA is filed under the name uncultured bacterium. Its description in RNAcentral is "partial 16S ribosomal RNA". It matches the Rfam family "Bacterial small subunit ribosomal RNA", at positions 524 to 776 of the family's 1533-position model. The record is from RNAcentral.
UACGGAGGGUGCAAGCGUUAUCCGGAUUCACUGGGUUUAAAGGGUGCGUAGGUGGGUCUGUAAGUCCGUGGUGAAAUCUCCGAGCUUAACUUGGAAACUGCCAUGGAUACUAUAGGUCUUGAAUACUGUGGAGGUCAGCGGAAUAUGUCAUGUAGCGGUGAAAUGCUUAGAUAUGACAUAGAACACCAAUUGCGAAGGCAGCUGGCUACACAUAUAUUGACACUGAGGCACGAAAGCGUGGGGAUCAAACAGG